RNAcentral lists this long non-coding RNA (454 nucleotides) under Eucalyptus grandis. Its description in RNAcentral is "long non-coding RNA (EGRA_LNC006644)". Lineage: Eukaryota; Viridiplantae; Streptophyta; Magnoliopsida; Myrtales; Myrtaceae. The record is from RNAcentral.
GACACUCCCAGGGCAUUAUCAUCCGCCUCCAACAAUUUCCUCAUUUAACAUAAUUCACUUUAUGUCUCAAAAUCAGCAUGGCACAUAAUGUAAUGGCAACCAAGAUCACUUUCAUCAUUUUAAUUCUUAUAUGCAUUUCCAAUCAUCAUCAUACAUGCAGCAAGAUACAAUCACUAAUGACAAUACUAUCCAUGGGAUCCAUACAACUUAGAAUAGUCCAUAUAUCAUGCCCUUUUUGAAAUUUACUAAAUUCCAGCUUGCACAAUUUUGGAAAACAUAUAAAUUAAAUAUCCAUAUGAUCCUCAAAAAUCACACAAUUAGAGCAUGUAACAGACAAGAUAUAAAGGUAACAAUUUCAUGAAGAACACUUGCCCAAAAGAGCUUCAUACAAAAAGAUAUAGCUCACACAUUGCAACAUGCAGAAUUCGGACAAAGUCAGAUUGCACAGUUUUUG